GAGAACGAUGCAAGAAAAGUUGAAGAAUAAUAGAAAAAUAUACAGUGUCAACCUUUGAGUGAAGAAAUGUGUUGAAACUUCUGGGUAAAACAAUUUUUUCAGAAAGACUGACUUUCCAACAUUUUCUUGGACAGAUAUGGUUUCAUUGAAGAACGUAUUCUGAGCUACAUCUCAUUUUAGACUAAGAGUAAAAGGAUCAGGACUUAUUUGGAAAUACACAAACUAUUAUAAUAUCAAGAAGUUCAUAUUAAAGAAGCUGGAUAGCCGUUAAAAAGGCAGAAAGUUAACAGACACUUUCUGUAAAUAGAUCAUUGAGUUGGAUGUGAAAACGUUUUGGGGGUAUCAUCUGAAACCCCAGAUACUCCAGGGGCUUCUCCAAAGUGUAAACUUAGAAUAUCCUUGAGUAGCAUUGAAAGCAGAGUAGGCCUGCAGGUGGCUGGUAGAAAGAAACUAGUUACUCCAGGUAAUACUACUCUGGAUAGGAUUUGCUCUGAAUUGCUCCUAGCAUGAGUUUGAGGUGCGUGGGCAAAGUGAGAGUGCACUUAAAAGCCUAUGGCUUCACUGGAUUUGAAUAAGAGAUGAUGAGGCUUAUCCUGCCACCUUGUGGCUCUGGGCCAACAUGCACAAAGCUUGGAGACAGAAGCCAGUAAUGAAGGGAACCAGAGGGCCUAACUGAGGAAGUAAAGUUCAGAACAAUCUCCCUCUCCUCUCCCUGUAGAAAUCAACAUGCCCAAGAUGGUGCAUCACCAUCAGUGUAAGAUGACAACAAAAUUGCUUAAUUAGCUAAAAUGAAUCAGAUGACAUGCUGAGACAAUUUAUGAAUUUUGGUCAAAUCAGAGAUGAAACAACUGAAAUUAAGUUUGUAAAUUGCCUAUACCUUAAAGAAGAAAGCUGAACUUAGAUUACCAGGUGGAAUACACAAUAGCAGAAGACAGAAACAGAAUGAUCCCUCAACAUGAUAAAUUUAAAACAAGGAGAAUUGAUCAGAGUGGGUCUCAAAGAGAAAGAAAUCUGUUCUUUAAAUCAGGAGAUGAAGAAAAAAUAAUGUCUUCAGACAUGGGACCAUGUUUCAUCCCAUGGGAAGGAAAACUGAAUGACAGAGACUGAAGAUUCUCAGUUUCAUCUAAAUGCACUCAGAUGUCCCUAUUCUAAGUUUUAGCAUCCCAAUUUAUUUUGGUUAUCUAUGAGUGCAUAAUUAUGCCAAAACUUAGUGAUUUAGAAAAAACAAAAUCAUUCAUCUCAUAAAUCUGUGCAUUUACUGAACUCAGCUGGGAAAUUCUUUCCUCCACAUGGUGUUGGCACAGGCUGUAGUCAUUUGGAGGCAUGAUUAUACCUGGAACAGUCAAG
This 1347-nucleotide long non-coding RNA is filed under the name Equus caballus (horse). Its description in RNAcentral is "lncRNA (ENSECAG00000051726.1)". The record is from RNAcentral. Lineage: Eukaryota; Metazoa; Chordata; Mammalia; Perissodactyla; Equidae.